CUCAGCAUCACACACGUUACUGGUCAGGUGACUGCAGGCCUACACAGGCGCCUCAGCAUCACACACGUUACUGGUCAGGUGACAGCAGGCCUACACAGGCGCCUCAGCAUCACACAUGUUACUGGUCAGGUGACAGCAGGCCUACACAGGCGCCUCAGCAUCACACACGUUACUGGUCAGGUGACAGCAGGCCUACACAGGCGCCUCAGCAUCACACACGUUACUGGUCAGGUGACAGCAGGCCUACACAGGCGCCUCAGCAUCACACACGUUACUGGUCAGGUGACAGCAGGC
This is a long non-coding RNA of Brienomyrus brachyistius, 294 nucleotides long. RefSeq lists it as uncharacterized. The record is from RefSeq and is a predicted model, not a curated record. The transcript is spliced from 4 exons. Lineage: Eukaryota; Metazoa; Chordata; Actinopteri; Osteoglossiformes; Mormyridae.